Molecule: ribosomal RNA, 460 nt
Filed under: uncultured bacterium
Lineage: Bacteria
Description: partial 16S ribosomal RNA
Rfam family: Bacterial small subunit ribosomal RNA
Source: RNAcentral
CCUACGGGAGGCAGCAGUGAGGAAUAUUGGUCAAUGGGCGCGAGCCUGAACCAGCCAAGUAGCGUGAAGGAUGACGGCCCUACGGGUGGUAAGCUUCUUUUGUAAAGGAGUAGAAUGAGGCACGUGUACCUUUUUGUAUGUAUUUUCUGAGUACGGAUCGGCUAACUCCGUGCCAGCAGCCGCGGUAAUACGGAGGAUCCGGGGUUUAUCCGGAUUUAUUGGGUUUAAAGGGAGCGUAGAUGGCGUGUUAAGUCAGUUGUGAAUGGUUGCGGCUCAACCCUAAAAUUUCAAUUGAUACUGGAAGACUUGAGUACAGGCGAGGUAGGUGGAAUUCCUGGUGUAGCGGUGAAAUGCUUAGAUAUUACGAAGAACUCCGAUUGCGAAGGCAGCUUACUAAACUGUCACUGACAUUGAUGCUCGAAAGCGUGGGUAUCAAACAGGAUUAGAUACCCGUGUAGUC